Molecule: ribosomal RNA, 491 nt
Filed under: Acinetobacter baumannii
Lineage: Bacteria; Pseudomonadati; Pseudomonadota; Gammaproteobacteria; Moraxellales; Moraxellaceae
Description: bacterial SSU rRNA
Rfam family: Bacterial small subunit ribosomal RNA
Source: RNAcentral
UUUGAUUCAUGGCUCAGAUUGAACGCUGGCGGCAGGCUUAACACAUGCAAGUCGAGCGGGGGAAGGUAGCUUGCUACUGGACCUAGCGGCGGACGGGUGAGUAAUGCUUAGGAAUCUGCCUAUUAGUGGGGGACAACAUCUCGAAAGGGAUGCUAAUACCGCAUACGUCCUACGGGAGAAAGCAGGGGAUCUUCGGACCUUGCGCUAAUAGAUGAGCCUAAGUCGGAUUAGCUAGUUGGUGGGGUAAAGGCCUACCAAGGCGACGAUCUGUAGCGGGUCUGAGAGGAUGAUCCGCCACACUGGGACUGAGACACGGCCCAGACUCCUACGGGAGGCAGCAGUGGGGAAUAUUGGACAAUGGGGGGAACCCUGAUCCAGCCAUGCCGCGUGUGUGAAGAAGGCCUUAUGGUUGUAAAGCACUUUAAGCGAGGAGGAGGCUACUUUAGUUAAUACCUAGAGAUAGUGGACGUACUCGCAGAAUAAGCACCGGC